UACGUAGGGGUGCAAGCGUUUGUCCGGAAUUAUUGGGCGUAAAGAGCUCGUAGGCGGUCUGUCGCGUCUGCUGUGAAAACUCGGGGCUUAACCCCGGGCCUGCAGUGGGUACGGGCAGACUAGAGUGCGGUAGGGGGAGACUGGAAUUCCUGGUGUAGCGGUGAAAUGCGCAGAUAUCAGGAGGAACACCGGUGGCGAAGGCGGGUCUCUGGGCCACUACUGACGCUGAGAAGCGAAAGCAUGGGGAGCGAACAGG
Molecule: ribosomal RNA, 256 nt
Filed under: uncultured bacterium
Lineage: Bacteria
Description: partial 16S ribosomal RNA
Rfam family: Bacterial small subunit ribosomal RNA
Source: RNAcentral